CCUACUGGUGACAUCAUUGGGGCAUCUUGCACAAUGGGGGAAACCCUGAUGCAGCGACGCCGCGUGGGGUCCUCCUUCUUUCUUUCUUUCCCUCUCUCUCCUCCUUUCCUCCCAUUCCUUUACCUUACUAAGAAGCCCCGGCUAACUACGUGCCAUCAGCCGCGGUAAUACGUAGUGGUCCAGCGUUAUCCUUAUUUACUUGGUGUAAAGGGAGCGUAGAUGGCCAGACAAGUCAGAAGUGAAAGCCCAGGGCUCAACCCUGGGACUGCUUUUGAAACUGGCGGGCUGGAGUGCAGGAGAGGUAAGCGGAAUUCCUAGUGUAGCGGUGAAAUGCGUAGAGAUUAGGAGGAACACCAGUGGCGAAGGCGGCUUAAUGGACUGUAAAUGACGUUGAGGCUCGAAAGCGGGGGGAGAAAACAGGAUGAGAGAAAAAAGGAGUC
RNAcentral lists this ribosomal RNA (440 nucleotides) under uncultured bacterium. RNAcentral's name for it is "partial 16S ribosomal RNA". It matches the Rfam family "Bacterial small subunit ribosomal RNA", at positions 338 to 795 of the family's 1533-position model. The record is from RNAcentral.